GUAGGUGGCAAGCGUUGUCCGGAAUUAUUGGGCGUAAAGCGCGCGCAGGCGGUUCGUUUAAGUCUGAUGUGAAAGCCCACGGGCUCAACCGUGGAGGGUCAUUGGAAACUGGAGAACUUGAGUACAGAAGAGGAAAGCGGAAUUCCACGUGUAGCGGUGAAAUGCGUAGAGAUGUGGAGGAACACCAGUGGCGGAGGCGGCUUUCUGGUCUGUAACUGACGCUGAGGCGCGAAAGCGUGGGGAGCAAACAGGAUUAGAUACCCUGGUAGUCCACGCCGUAAACGAUGAGUGCUAAGUGUUAGGGGGGUUUCCGCCCCUUAGUGCUGCAGCUAACGCAUUAAGCACUCCGCCUGGGGAGUACGGCCGCAAGGCUG
Molecule: ribosomal RNA, 374 nt
Filed under: uncultured organism
Description: partial 16S ribosomal RNA
Rfam family: Bacterial small subunit ribosomal RNA
Source: RNAcentral